AGUCAAGUAAUUAAGUGCAUGUGGUGGAUGCCUUGGCAGUCAGAGGCGAUGAAAGACGUGAUAGCCUGCGAAAAGCUCCGGGGAGGCGGCAAAUAUCCUUUGAUCCGGAGAUGUCUGAAUGGGGGAACCCACCUACUUUAAGGUAGGUAUUGCAACAUGAAUACAUAGUGUUGCAAGGCGAACGAGGGGAAGUGAAACAUCUCAGUACCCUUAGGAAAAGAAAUCAAUUGAGAUUCCCUCAGUAGCGGCGAGCGAACGGGGAUCAGCCCAUUAAGUUAUGUGUGUUUUAGUGGAACGCUCUGGGAAGUGCGAACGUAGAGGGUGAUAUUCCCGUACACGAAAGGGCACACAUAAUGAUGACGAGUAGGGCGAGGCACGUGAAACCUUGUCUGAAUAUGGGGGGACCAUCCUCCAAGGCUAAAUACUCCUGACUGACCGAUAGUGAACCAGUACCGUGAGGGAAAGGCGAAAAGAACCCCUGUGAGGGGAGUGAAAUAGAUCCUGAAACCGCAUGCAUACAAGCAGUGGGAGCACCUUCGUGGUGUGACUGCGUACCUUUUGUAUAAUGGGUCAGCGACUUAUAUUCAGUAGCGAGGUUAACCGUAUAGGGGAGCCGUAGAGAAAUCGAGUCUUAAUAGGGCGUUUAGUUGCUGGGUAUAGACCCGAAACCAGGCGAUCUAUCCAUGAGCAGGUUGAAGGUUGGGUAACACUAACUGGAGGACCGAACCCACUGUCGUUGAAAAGCCAGGGGAUGACUUGUGGAUAGGGGUGAAAGGCUAAUCAAGCCUGGUGAUAGCUGGUUCUCCCCGAAAGCUAUUUAGGUAGCGCCUCGGACGAAUACCAUAGGGGGUAGAGCACUGUUUCGGCUAGGGGGUCAUCCCGACUUACCAAACCGAUGCAAACUCCGAAUACCUAUGAGUACUAUCCGGGAGACAGACUGCGGGUGCUAACGUCCGUAGUCAAGAGGAAAACAAUCCAGACCGCCAGCUAAGGCCCCAAAAUCAUAGUUAAGUGGGAAACGAUGUGGGAAGGCAUAGACAGCUAGGAGGUUGGCUUAGAAGCAGCCACCCUUUAAAGAAAGCGUAAUAGCUCACUAGUCGAGUCGGCCUGCGCGGAAGAUGUAACGGGGCUAAAACUAUGUGCCGAAGCUGCGGAUGUAUACUUUGUAUACGUGGUAGGGGAGCGUUCUGUAAGCCGAUGAAGGUGUGUUGAGAAGCAUGCUGGAGGUAUCAGAAGUGCGAAUGCUGACGUGAGUAACGACAAAACGGGUGAAAAACCCGUUCGCCGAAAGACCAAGGGUUCCAGUCCAACGUUAAUCGGGGCUGGGUGAGUCGACCCCUAAGGCGAGGCCGAAAGGCGUAGUCGAUGGGAAAAUGGUUAAUAUUCCAUUACUUCUGUGUAAUGCGAUGAGAGGACGGAGAAGGCUAAAUCAGCCUGGCGUUGGUUGUCCAGGUGAAAG
This 1459-nucleotide ribosomal RNA is filed under the name Acinetobacter baumannii. RNAcentral's name for it is "partial 23S ribosomal RNA". It matches the Rfam family "Bacterial large subunit ribosomal RNA", at positions 1 to 1516 of the family's 2925-position model. Lineage: Bacteria; Pseudomonadati; Pseudomonadota; Gammaproteobacteria; Moraxellales; Moraxellaceae. The record is from RNAcentral.